Molecule: long non-coding RNA, 303 nt
Organism: Drosophila innubila
Lineage: Eukaryota; Metazoa; Arthropoda; Insecta; Diptera; Drosophilidae
Exons: 3
Source: RefSeq, a predicted model, not a curated record
CUACUUCGUACAAGUGCAAGGCUAAGUUCGGUGCAGUUACGCAUAAUAAAGUUAAAGUUCAACAUAUAUAUUAAAAGGAGGAGAUGGACCCAAUCAAUUUCUCAGGGCAGCCAUCAGAAAAGUUUUUACCGACAAUUUGUCUUCCAACUACAGCUGGAAGGGAACAAAAACUAAGCCGAGUGCCGAAAAGUGCUAUCUUGUAACUGCAAUAAAAAACAUUUGUCAUAUAAAGUACAAAUGCACUGACAAAGAUAUGAACGCCGUCUUGCAAAAGCAUUUUGUGCACGCAAACGAUCGACUGGC